GCGCCCUGGAACACUCGGGGGCGCCGCGGGACCCAGAAUUCCCGGGGCCAUGGGAGAGACCAUCGGCUCUAACGGAGGGGGGCGUCCCGGGGUGGUGGGGCGGAGUCUGUGUCGUCAAACGGGCAGGAAGUUCCCGUGAGUCUUUGCCAGGAUUACCCUCCCUUCUGUGAGGAAUGGAAUGUUCCGAGUCCUUAAAGGCCCGGGACGCCACAGAAGCGACCUUUCUAUUAUCAUGAUAAUGGAGGUAAGUGGUGUUUGUAGUUGGGGACCAGUAGCAGGCGGCAAAGGCGAAGGAGCUAAAAGCUUCUUAAUUCCUGGGAAGAAGUUCUCGGGAAGCUUCAGUGGGGGGCGCAAGGCGGCUCCCUGUGGCGCGUCUCCGGCCUUCGGGGCGGCGGUGGGGAGAGUCGCGUGGGGCCUAAGAGGGCCGAGGCUCAAGGCCCGCGCGCGUGUCUGUCCCCCUGCGGUCCCCGAAGGCCGGGCCCCCGUUCCCCGGACCCGGCGUGGGAGGUGCGCCAACCCCGGAGGACUGGGUGGCAGAUGCCUCCUUGCAGCGCCUUCAAGCCGGGAACGGCCUCCCACCCUGAGUUUUAGGCAAUGGGCAAUGAUUGUGCCCGGCCCCACUGCAUACAUGGCAUGGAACCUCAAGUGGAAGUUGGAGGAGGUUCUCCUAACCUGGAACUACUUCCACCGCAGUUACAGCCAGAGAUAAACUCCCACUUAAAAUGUCUCGUUUACAACCCAGCGUCCUGCUUAUUUCUCAAGCAAUUACGGCUUAAUCCCAG
RNAcentral lists this long non-coding RNA (782 nucleotides) under Ursus maritimus (polar bear). Its description in RNAcentral is "lncRNA (ENSUMAG00000006999.1)". The record is from RNAcentral. Lineage: Eukaryota; Metazoa; Chordata; Mammalia; Carnivora; Ursidae.